AUUGAACGCUGGCGGCAUGCCUUACACAUGCAAGUCGAACGGCAGCACGGGUGCUUGCACCUGGUGGCGAGUGGCGAACGGGUGAGUAAUACAUCGGAACAUGUCCUGUAGUGGGGGAUAGCCCGGCGAAAGCCGGAUUAAUACCGCAUACGAUCUACGGAUGAAAGCGGGGGACCUUCGGGCCUCGCGCUAUAGGGUUGGCCGAUGGCUGAUUAGCUAGUUGGUGGGGUAAAGGCCUACCAAGGCGACGAUCAGUAGCUGGUCUGAGAGGACGACCAGCCACACUGGGACUGAGACAAGGCCCAGACUCCUACGGGAGGCAGCAGUGGGGAAUUUUGGACAAUGGGCGAAAGCCUGAUCCAGCAAUGCCGCGUGUGUGAAGAAGGCCUUCGGGUUGUAAAGCACUUUUGUCCGGAAAGAAAUCCUUGGCCCUAAUACGGUCGGGGGAUGACGGUACCGGAAGAAUAAGCACCGGCUAACUACGUG
This 486-nucleotide ribosomal RNA is filed under the name uncultured bacterium. RNAcentral describes it as "partial 16S ribosomal RNA". It matches the Rfam family "Bacterial small subunit ribosomal RNA", at positions 30 to 507 of the family's 1533-position model. The record is from RNAcentral.